GACGAACGCUGGCGGCGUGCCUAAUACAUGCAAGUAGAACGCUGAAGGAGGAGCUUUCUUCUCUGGAUGAGUUGCGAACGGGUGAGUAACGCGUAGGUAACCUGCCUGGUAGCGGGGGAUAACUAUUGGAAACGAUAGCUAAUACCGCAUAAGAGUAGAUGUCGCAUGACAUUUGCUUAAAAGGUGCAAUUUCAUCACUACCAGAUGGACCUGCGUUGUAUUAGCUAGUUGGUGAGGUAACGGCUCACCAAGGCAACGAUACAUAGCCGACCUGAGAGGGUGAUCGGCCACACUGGGACCGGGACCAGGCCCAGACUCCUACGGGAGGCAGCCGUAGGGAAUCUUUGGCAAUGGACGGAAGUCUGAACGAGCAAAGCCGGGUGAGUGAAGAAGGUUUUCGGAUUGUAAAGAUCCGUUGUAAGAGAAGAACGAGUGUGAGAGUGGAAAGUUCACACUGUGACGGUAUCUUACCAGAAAGGGACGGCUAACUACGUG
This 495-nucleotide ribosomal RNA is filed under the name uncultured bacterium. RNAcentral's name for it is "partial 16S ribosomal RNA". It matches the Rfam family "Bacterial small subunit ribosomal RNA", at positions 28 to 507 of the family's 1533-position model. The record is from RNAcentral.